Molecule: long non-coding RNA, 1334 nt
Organism: Dermochelys coriacea (leatherback sea turtle)
Lineage: Eukaryota; Metazoa; Chordata; Testudines; Dermochelyidae
Exons: 3
Source: RefSeq, a predicted model, not a curated record
AACUUAGGGUCCAUGGAGGACAUGACUAUUUCUGUCCUUUGUUUCUCUUCCUUCCCUGUCUUUGUGUCUCAUCUGUUCUUCCCUCUAUUUCUUUCCGUGCUGCAACUCCCAAAUCAUAACCCCUGUGAUCUUCACUCCCUCCCACUGUUACAAUUGAUUAAAUGACCAGCGAUUAAAUAAUUCAUGUUGCAACAGAUGUGUGAACUCAUUGGGCUUUAGACCUGAAACUCCAGAUUGGGGUGGGGAAAAUGUAACACUUAAGUCACGGUGUGAUGAGGUUUACAGACCUCUUGUUGAGACUCCGGGAGUGAUGGAGAAGUAUUGGUCCAAGAUGGCCCUGUUUCUCAGCAGCUGCAGAACAUGCUCCAAAUGUUAAGACCUGCUUAAUGGGGACUCUAGCAAUCAAGCUGGGGAAGAGUGAAGAAGGGGUUGUUUGCAGGAAGCAAGCCAGUUAGUAGCUUCUUGGACAGAGAACUUUACAGGGAAAGGCUCUGGCUGUGACUAAGGCUCUGAGAAUCAAAAUAUAUGCCAUGUGGGCCACACAGAAACAACAUGUAGGCAGAAUCCAGUCAAUGGGCCUAUGUUUGACACCCCUGCUCUAUACCGUGUGAGCUACACAAUUGAAUAAAGUUGAGGAUUCUGCAAUAUGUUCCUUUCUCCCCUGCCAACCCUGAUCAGCAAAGGCCCAGCAGGAAGGGGCUACUUCUAUAAAAGCCCGACCUGGAAAUGUUUCUGGAAACCCUAAAAAUUGUAAUUAAGACAUGUAAUGUCCUAAACAGCAUUUUUUUGACAACCUUUUUGUUUGAAUUCCCACCCCAAAUUCACAUUAGCUUGUACUCCACUGUGUUGUGAUACCACCUCUGCCGUGAUGGAGAAUGAAGCCAGGCCCCAGGGGGUCAGGUAUAUGGUAUGAAUCUUUAGUCCAUGCUGUUGUUCUGAGAAGGACUUUUAAAGAUGAAUUUAUGUACCGAAGGUUAUAACAACAAAUUGUCAAUACGUCUCAUAACUGCACCAUUUGCUAAUAAUAAUAAUAAUAAAUAAUCUACCACGUACAUGACCCCUAUGGAGAAACUCCAAUCAGAACUCCCCAGUCACUGUGAAGUCAAAGCAGCACAGAAGUUAUCUGGCAUGAGCAUCUGCAUGGCCAAACAACAAUUAUUUCAAUCAUGUGUAGUAAAUGUCCUUUUGUUUUAAGGCAUUCUGUAUAUAGGCAUACAAUUAGUCUACCUUUUCAAAAACCUCUUUUAGGUCAUCUUUUCAAAAUGGAAAAACUGCCAUGUCUUGCAUGAUCUCAGUGGAAAUGUGUUAACAUGUGACAUCUGUCAAAGCACAUG